RNAcentral lists this ribosomal RNA (247 nucleotides) under uncultured bacterium. Its description in RNAcentral is "partial 16S ribosomal RNA". It matches the Rfam family "Bacterial small subunit ribosomal RNA", at positions 523 to 769 of the family's 1533-position model. The record is from RNAcentral.
AUACGUAGGGAGCGAGCGUUGUCCGGAUUUACUGGGUGUAAAGGGUGCGUAGGCGGGUUUGCAAGUCAGGCGUGAAAUCCCGGGGCUUAACUCCGGGGCUGCGCUUGAAACUGUAGAUCUUGAGUGAAGUAGAGGCAAGCGGAAUUCCUAGUGUAGCGGUGAAAUGCGUAGAUAUUAGGAGGAACACCAGUGGCGAAGGCGGCUUGCUGGGCUUUAACUGACGCUGAGGCACGAAAGCAUGGGGAGC